This 606-nucleotide ribosomal RNA is filed under the name Dreissena polymorpha polymorpha. Its description in RNAcentral is "eukaryotic LSU rRNA". The stretch from base 429 to 606 matches the Rfam family "Eukaryotic large subunit ribosomal RNA", at positions 665 to 812 of the family's 3401-position model. Lineage: Eukaryota; Metazoa; Mollusca; Bivalvia; Myida; Dreissenidae. The record is from RNAcentral.
AACCGCACAGAGUCAAACUGGUGGAUCCGCAGAGUCCGCGCGGGGAAUUCAGCCCGGCAGGCGGGGCCGCGCGCCGGCCGAGAUUCGUCUCGGACCUGGCUGGCGCGCAGCGUACUCGCAGGCAGGGUGCACUUUCCCCGGCUAGCGGAAGGCCACGACCGGUUCGGUGGCGGUCAGGAGCCCGGAGGGGAGGUAGCCGUGAUCGGUAUAAUCCGAUCGCGGAACGUACAGCCCUCCGAGGUGGACUCGCCGCUGGACCGAGGAUGCCGCGGUGGCCUCACGCCGCGGGCCGUCCGGGAGCGUUCGACUUUGGCCACGCUGCUCGCAGCGGGUCGAGACCGCGCGCCUGGUACGGGCUCGCGAUCGUGGGUCGCCCAGGGUCAGUGGCGAAUCGGUCGGCAACCCACCAGACCCGUCUUGAAACACGGACCAAGGAGUCUAGCAUGUGCGCGAGUCACGGGGUCUCUCGAAACCCAAGGGCGCAAUGAAAGUGAAGGCCGCCUCCGGCUGGCCCAGGCAAGAUCCCGAGUCGUUCGCGACGAGGGCGCACUGCCGGCCCGUCUCGCUGGCAUCGACCACGAGGCGGAGCAAGAGCGCACACGCUGG